Long non-coding RNA from Halichondria panicea, 1061 nucleotides. RefSeq lists it as uncharacterized. The record is from RefSeq and is a predicted model, not a curated record. The transcript has 5 exons. Lineage: Eukaryota; Metazoa; Porifera; Demospongiae; Suberitida; Halichondriidae.
CGACCCCUUCGACUCCUCUCAGUCUGUCUGCUCGAGCUACAAUCCCUUUGACUCCUCUUAGUUCAUCUGCUCGAGCUUUGACUCCUCAGUACUCCCAGCCCUGAUCAAAUCCCCCUGGAAUAGUAAAAACAAUACCUACAUAUCUGCAACAAACAUGCAACAAGGAAUUCACACCAACAAACUAAUUUGGUGCAACAAGAUUCCUCUGACUCGGAAUGUUUAUGUUUAAACUGAGUACUACGUGAGGUGCUGCUGGCUUUUGAGCGUUCUCUGUCCGAUAGUGAGCCAUCCUCUCCCGAACUAGGAUGGUGUUCAUGAUCAGCGCCUCUUUAACAAGCUCCAGUUUCCCCAUGCGCAACUCCUUUGUGGGAAUAUCUCGGUGAUCUUCUGAGUCUCCAUGAGCCUUUUUGGGAGGCAGGCUUGAGACGUAAGGCGUUGAUCAAACUUCACGAUUUUGAGCUGGUAUACAAGGUGCCAAAUCCUUUCACUGAUGAGGGAAGUUUCUGACCCUCCACAUCUGAUUAAGACCGUGAGGAACUGCUGGAUGUCAAACCCUCGAAACCUUCACAGGAUUUCAUGGGGACAGCUGAUGUCCUUAUAUGACUGAGACACAGCAGCUGGUGUUGGGGAGCUUGCACUGCACUGCUCAGGUAAUUAACUUACUAGUGUGUAUGCAUGAUUUUUUGUGCAUAAUUAUAGGUCUGGAGUGAAUCUGUCUGUAAGCAAAGGACUGAGAGAAGUGGGUGCUCUCAGCUCAGAGAAAAUUACAUGUGAGGAAUGUAAUACAUUCCCACACCCACUCACAGCCUCAGGGUCUCGUUAUUAUAGACAGGCAAGUCGUUUAUUGAAAUCGUACGCGAUUUUAAGUCCUAGGCCAAAGAAUCUGACAAAAUUUCUUUCUGUCGGUGCCAAACGCAACAAGGAGUGUAAAACUUAUGUAUAGAGGUGGUAGUAAAAAUGUACAGACAUUCACGAACUGUUCCCCAUAAUGCAGGAGACUCAAACCGAAAACAUUCUGAUCUUUACAAUGUCAUGACUUGUCUACUGUUUAAAUUGUUACG